CAGCAGUCCCGGUGGUUAGCAGCCCAAGGAAGGCAAUGUACUUCUAUAGAAGGGUGCAACCUUACAGAUGGAGCAAUGAGUCCAGAAUUCUCUUUUCUCAACACUAGAUGGCAGUAGAGUUAAAGAAAAAAAUCCCAGCAGUUCUUUGUACAGGGAUUUGGUGAUUUUUCCCAUAAAGCUGCGAUGAGGAUGAACUCAGAGCAAAAUCUAUCUAGAAUGUGAAAUAAUACCUGUGGCUGAAAAGAAGCUCUUUUGACCCAGGAUCCUGGUCCUCUGCAUAACAGUCAAGACCAUUCUCAUUUGCCUGAAAGUGUUUUAGAGAAGAAAGAGAAAUUCAGGACCAAUCAGCAAUUCCCUUUUCCACUCUUAUGAAGAAAGAAAAAGGAUUUGUGUUAUUUGAGAUUUAAGUUACUUCCUUUUUUCCUAUGACAGGUUUUGGUAAAUGCCCAGCUCCAAUAAUACGUUAACAUUUUCAGAGUCAAUCUGGGUUAUAAGUAAAUAAACUCCAUUUUGAUCUUG
Molecule: long non-coding RNA, 519 nt
Filed under: Homo sapiens (human)
Lineage: Eukaryota; Metazoa; Chordata; Mammalia; Primates; Hominidae
Description: HSALNT0151348
Source: RNAcentral